AUUGAACGCUGGCGGCAUGCCUUACACAUGCAAGUCGAACGGCAGCGGGGACUUCGGUCCGCCGGCGAGUGGCGAACGGGUGAGUAACGUAUCGGAACGUACCUUUCAGUGGGGGAUAACGUAGCGAAAGUUACGCUAAUACCGCAUAUUCUGUGAGCAGGAAAGCAGGGGAUCGCAAGACCUUGCGCUGAUUGAGCGGCCGAUAUCAGAUUAGCUAGUUGGUGAGGUAAAGGCUCACCAAGGCGACGAUCUGUAGCGGGUCUGAGAGGAUGAUCCGCCACACUGGAACUGAGACACGGUCCAGACUCCUACGGGAGGCAGCAGUGGGGAAUUUUGGACAAUGGGGGCAACCCUGAUCCAGCCAUGCCGCGUGAGUGAAGAAGGCCUCGGUGUAAG
This 396-nucleotide ribosomal RNA is filed under the name uncultured bacterium. Its description in RNAcentral is "bacterial SSU rRNA". It matches the Rfam family "Bacterial small subunit ribosomal RNA", at positions 30 to 429 of the family's 1533-position model. The record is from RNAcentral.